This 1153-nucleotide long non-coding RNA is filed under the name Callithrix jacchus (white-tufted-ear marmoset). RNAcentral's name for it is "lncRNA (ENSCJAG00000086467.1)". The record is from RNAcentral. Lineage: Eukaryota; Metazoa; Chordata; Mammalia; Primates; Cebidae.
AAACACUUUUAUUCAUUAUAUCGUAACUGUUCCUCACAUCAACCCAUUCAUUUUGAUUCUCUUUUGACAGACAUGGAUUAGGUAAGUUAUAUUUAUUUAUUUGUUUAGCUAUGUAUUCAUUCAUCUAUCCAAGAAACAUCCCCUAAUAUGUCCAUAUUAUUGAGCUGAAUUGUAUGAAGGAUAUCUUCUAAGAGCAUGUAAUCUUGUAGUAUUAGUAUCAAUAAUAUAAUGGCUAUUGAUAAGAUUAUAUUAUAUAAUAUAAUCAAUGUUAAGAAUAUUACAUUUUCAUAUUAACAUAAUAAUAUGGAAAUGUAAAACAUAAAAUUGUAAUACUAAAAAUAGUAUAGCAUAAGAAGUGUUGAGGUGGAAUUUGCUGUGGGAUCACACAAAAGGGAAUGAAAUCGGUUAGGAACUGUGAGAACUGCUUAUGGGGGUAGGACUGUAGCACUGGGUUUGGGACCCAGGGUUGCUCAGGGGUGAGCUGAUGAGGCUAAAAUGUUCUGCAGGAACUGCAAGGGCGCAGGUUUUGAAGUGCCAGGCUCGGCAUGCGUCAUACUGGCUUGGAGGAUGCUUGAAGGGAAGCCAGGGCAUGACCCCCUAGGGCAGCAUGGGAGAAGCAGGAAGCGAGGACGGUCUGGUCCAGAAGCCCUGCGUUGGAGUUUGCUAAAGAGGUCCUCCUGAGCAGCCUGCUUCCCAGGGUCCCCUAAGGAGCCCCUCCACAACCUCGAAGUAAAGGACAUGGUGGGCUGCAGAGACUCUGGCUGUCUCCUCAUGGCUUGCAGCAUCCAUACUGGCACUCACAGCUAGCUCUUUCUCCUUUCUUUUAUCCAGGGCUCUGGAUGAGCUGUGUGUGUUGAAACUGUUUCUCCCUUCAGCAUCAGGUAGGAUAGAAACACAGCUUUUCCUCACAGCAGCUUGCAGACGGCUACGCAGCUGGUGCCACAGAGUCGCACCCUGGUGCACGUUUGAGGAGAAGAUGCAGGGCCGACUCAUGAGGUUCUGUGGAGGAUUUUUUAGUGCUUUCUCUGGACUAAAUUUUACAUUAUGUUGAUAAUGACCCAAAAGAAAGCUAUAGAUAGGAAGACCUUGUAUAGCAAUAGGACUAAUGAUACUACUCAUAAAAUAUUUUAUAAUUCAAAUGCAAUAUGACCAU